RNAcentral lists this long non-coding RNA (373 nucleotides) under Gallus gallus (chicken). The record is from RNAcentral. Lineage: Eukaryota; Metazoa; Chordata; Aves; Galliformes; Phasianidae.
CCACAUACUAGAAGGCAAAACUCUCAUUGUCUAAUUCGUCAGGUCUUGCCACUCCAAUUUCAGGCCAUAUUUUGUUCUUCCACUGAUCUAGACAAACUACUACUAUAAGAGUAAGUGCAACCAGGAACACUAAUCGAAGAGAAGUCAGAGCAAAGAACCAGAAGAGGCCGUGCGCCGCCGCCCACCACAGCGCGCUGCGGCCCGGCCGCUCCCACACCAGCGCGGCCUGCGCGGCGCUCAGCAGCCGCUCGUAGGGCCCCAGGCGGCCCCGCAGCGCCGCGCUCAACUCCUGCACUCGCCGCUGCCUCUCGCCGGGCCGCGCCGCCGCCAUGGCUCCUUCCCGGCAUCAACAUCCGGCCGCCGCCGACAUGGC